GAUGAACGCUGGCGGCGUGCUUAACACAUGCAAGUCGAGCGAGUGAGUUCUUCGGAACGAUCUAGCGGCGGACGGGUGAGUAACACGUGGGCAACCUGCCUCAUAGAGGGAAAUAGCCUCCCGAAAGGGAGAUUAAUACCGCAUAAAAUUAUCGAGUGGCAUCACAUGAUAAUCAAAGGAGCAAUCCGCUAUGAGAUGGGCCCGCGGCGCAUUAGCUAGUUGGUGAGGUAACGGCUCACCAAGGCGACGAUGCGUAGCCGACCCGAGAGGGUGAUCGGCCACAUUGGGACUGAGACACGGCCCAGACUCCUACGGGAGGCAGCAGUGGGGAAUAUUGCACAAUGGGGGAAACCCUGAUGCAGCAACGCCGCGUGAGUGAUGAAGGUCUUCGGAUUGUAAAGCUCUGUCUUUGGGGACGAUAAUGACGGUACCCAAGGAGGAAGCCACGGCUAACUACGUGCCAGCCGCCGCCGUAA
This 476-nucleotide ribosomal RNA is filed under the name uncultured bacterium. RNAcentral describes it as "partial 16S ribosomal RNA". It matches the Rfam family "Bacterial small subunit ribosomal RNA", at positions 28 to 523 of the family's 1533-position model. The record is from RNAcentral.